GAUGAACGCUGGCGGCGUGCCUAAUACAUGCAAGUCGAGCGAACGGACGAGAAGCUUGCUUCUCUGAUGUUAGCGGCGGACGGGUGAGUAACACGUGGAUAACCUACCUAUAAGACUGGGAUAACUUCGGGAAACCGGAGCUAAUACCGGAUAAUAUUUUGAACCGCAUGGUUCAAAAGUGAAAGACGGUCUUGCUGUCACUUAUAGAUGGAUCCGCGCUGCAUUAGCUAGUUGGUAAGGUAACGGCUUACCAAGGCAACGAUGCAUAGCCGACCUGAGAGGGUGAUCGGCCACACUGGAACUGAGACACGGUCCAGACUCCGCGGGAGGCAGCAGUAGGGAAUCUUCCGCAAUGGGCGAAAGCCUGACGGAGCAACGCCGCGUGAGUGAUGAAGGUCUUCGGAUCGUAAAACUCUGUUAUUAGGGAAGAACAUAUGUGUAAGUAACUGUGCACAUCUUGACGGUACCUAAUCAGAAAGCCACGGCUAACUACGUG
RNAcentral lists this ribosomal RNA (496 nucleotides) under uncultured bacterium. RNAcentral's name for it is "partial 16S ribosomal RNA". It matches the Rfam family "Bacterial small subunit ribosomal RNA", at positions 28 to 507 of the family's 1533-position model. The record is from RNAcentral.